This 241-nucleotide ribosomal RNA is filed under the name uncultured bacterium. RNAcentral describes it as "partial 16S ribosomal RNA". It matches the Rfam family "Bacterial small subunit ribosomal RNA", at positions 337 to 570 of the family's 1533-position model. The record is from RNAcentral.
CCCUACGGGGGGCAGCAGUAGGGAAUCUUCCACAAUGGACGAAAGUCUUAUGGAGCAACGCCGCGUGAGUGAAGAAGGGUCUCGGCUCGUAAAGCUCUGUUGGUAGUGAAGAAAGAUAGAGGUAGUAACUGGCCUUUAUUUGACGGUAAUUACUUAGAAAGUCACGGCUAACUACGUGCCCGCAGCCGCGGUAAUACGUAGGUUGCAAGCGUUUUCCGGAUUUAUUUGGCGUAAAACGAGU